This 253-nucleotide ribosomal RNA is filed under the name uncultured bacterium. RNAcentral's name for it is "partial 16S ribosomal RNA". It matches the Rfam family "Bacterial small subunit ribosomal RNA", at positions 524 to 776 of the family's 1533-position model. The record is from RNAcentral.
UACGUAGGGUGCAAGCGUUGUCCGGGAUUAUUGGGCGUAAAGAGCUCGUAGGCGGUUUGUCGCGUCUGCUGUGAAAACCCGAGGCUCAACCUCGGGCCUGCAGUGGGUACGGGCAGACUAGAGUGCGGUAGGGGAGAUUGGAAUUCCUGGUGUAGCGGUGGAAUGCGCAGAUAUCAGGAGGAACACCAAUGGCGAAGGCAGAUCUCUGGGCCGUAACUGACGCUGAGGAGCGAAAGCAUGGGGAGCGAACAGG